The submitters of this non-coding RNA (109 nucleotides) gave its source as unclassified sequences. The record is from Rfam.
UAGGUUAGAAGUUGAAAUAGUCGUUAUUAUUUAAUGAUGCGGUCCCAACGCGCCAAGCCCUUAAGGGAAGGUGACAAGAGAUGUGGGGAGGGCUGUCCCACCUAACCUA